AACGCACAUUGCGCCUUCUGGUAUUCCGGGAGGCAUGUCUGUCUGAGCGUCAUGAACACCCCCUCGGGAACGCAUUUACUUGCGUUCUCCGGUCCUGGGUCCCGGUCCGCCCUCGCGCAGCCGAGUCCUCAAAUCGGCGAGUUUGCGAGCCUGUUCCUCCGGGUCUCAAAGCGUAGUAGAAAAUGCGAUCGCUUGGCCUGGUGGAACGCGGCCUUGCCUCGAACACACUCUCACGAGUCUUGACCUCAGAUCAGACAAGGAUACCCGCUGAACUUAA
This 277-nucleotide unclassified non-coding RNA is filed under the name uncultured Otidea. RNAcentral's name for it is "partial contains 5.8S ribosomal RNA, internal transcribed spacer 2, and large subunit ribosomal RNA". The stretch from base 1 to 52 matches the Rfam family "5.8S ribosomal RNA", at positions 103 to 154 of the family's 154-position model. Lineage: Eukaryota; Fungi; Ascomycota; Pezizomycetes; Pezizales; Pyronemataceae. The record is from RNAcentral.